Long non-coding RNA from Oreochromis aureus, 1699 nucleotides. The record is from Ensembl. Lineage: Eukaryota; Metazoa; Chordata; Actinopteri; Cichliformes; Cichlidae.
CUUUUAUUCAUCUGUAAAAAUGGUUAUUACAGAUACUCCUGUAAUUAAUACAACUACAAGAUAACAACCAAGUAAAAGUUUUUGUUGCUUUUGUUUUAAAUCAACCAUGAUUUUUAACUGUGUUAGAAUGGACUACAAUUACAGCCAUGACAGGCUGAAUGUUUGUGGAAUGCCGCUGUAGAAGGUAGGCACCGUUAGGUUGGUUCUUGGUUGCUCCAUCCUUACAGCUGACUAAUACAGUCCUCUACAGGUUUUGUCAAAUAAAGCAGCCUGAAAAUAUGAAUAUAUAUAUAGUAACAUAUAAGACUAAGAAUGAACAUAAAAAUAAGAAGGAAAUAUGCAAUGGGGCAAGAGGGAGAGAUGAAAGAGAAAACUGGAAAGAAAACAAGAACAUUGUAACUAAUACUUUAACGCUGUGGAGACUGAUGGUAAUUUAUCUGUCAUGACGUCACGUUGCAUUAGUGAAUUAACAUCAAUAAGUUAGAUAACAGGGGAAGCGGAGGAGAAGAAAAACAAUGUAGUGGAUUCUUAUAUGGAGUGGCGUCAAUCAACCAGGGAGUGGUGCUGAGGCUGAUCUGUUCAUCCACAGCGACCACAGCACGGGAGCCCUUCUGAAUGAAGAUCCACUGAAUGAGGAUCAGGACCUCAUGUCGCUCCGGAAUCUCUUUGGGGAACUGGUUGUUUACACUAAAGUCCGUUCCUUUCAGCUGCCUGUUCCUUCUGCUUGAAAUGUUGGAAUUUGGUCACAAUAGGACGCGGUCUUCAGGCAUCAUUCUUGCUGCCAGGCCAUGGACACAGUGGAAGGUGAUGUUCUUCAGCAUGUCCUGUGGAAGCUUCAGGUGGGUCCUGAUGAAGGUUUUAAUGGUAACUUCUGCGUCCUCUUCCGCAGAUUCCAGGAUGCCUGAAAACACCAGGGGAUAGUGUGGAAAUCGACCAUAGUGUCUUUUAUUAUUUUAAAAUCAUUAUUAUUUUACUUUCUUCACUGAGCUGGGUCACAUGACCAAGUCUCGUAGCGAGGCGUUUUCAGCAGUGAGUGUUUCCACCUGCUGCUGGCUGAACACCAAACAUUCCCUUACUGCUUUGGUGCGGUGCUCUUUGUCUGUUUGGCAUGCUGAAUAGAGGAGGAAACACGGUGCCGUUAUUAAUGUCACAGCCAAGGCCGACCUGGGAAAAAGACUCGAUAUGGAGAACACUCACGGAGGCACUGGUGGAGGUUUUUAGGCACGAGAGGGGGAAGAGGUCUGGGUGAGGCAGUGCUGUUUCCAGGUGGGGUGUUACGUAGGUGCUGUGACAGGAGGGCAGGUGAGUGAAAAAGAGAGCUUUUUGCACUGAGCUGUCUCGUACUGACCGGCAUCGGGAUGAUGGUGAAUAUGGCCAGCAGAGGAAAUGACAGACAGCAGGAUGACUGCAGGUUGAGAGCACAGGAUUAAUCUCACCAUGAAAAAAAUCUGUUUUGAUGACUACUCCGUGACAACCAGCACUAACUGUAGGUAAGCUGAAGACUUGGCAGAGAGUAGGGGUGAGCGCUGGUCUUAAGUACUGACAGCUCAACUGCCAGCAGGUGUGGAGGCACGCAGGUAUGCCGUGACUCCGCCCAGGGGUGGAAACUGAGACUCUGUGGAAAAAACAGACCAUGACAGUUAAUAAAUAAUAAAUUGUAAAAACUUCUCCCAUAAAAAAACCAACAGUGCCAUGUUUG